AACGAACGCUGGCGGCAUGCCUAACACAUGCAAGUCGAACGAGAUCUUCGGGUCUAGUGGCGCACGGGUGCGUAACGCGUGGGAAUCUGCCCUUUGGUUCGGAAUAACAGUUGGAAACGACUGCUAAUACCGGAUGAUGACGAAAGUCCAAAGAUUUAUCGCCAGAGGAUGAGCCCGCGUAGGAUUAGCUAGUUGGUGUGGUAAAGGCGCACCAAGGCGACGAUCCUUAGCUGGUCUGAGAGGAUGAUCAGCCACACUGGGACUGAGACACGGCCCAGACUCCUACGGGAGGCAGCAGGGGGGAAUAUUGGACAAUGGGCGAGAGCCUGAUCCAGCAAUGCCGCGUGAGUGAUGAAGGCCUUAGGGUUGUAAAGCUCUUUUACCCGGGAUGAUAAUGACAGUACCGGGAGAAUAAGCUCCGGCUAACUCCGUGCCAGCCGCCGCGGUAA
Molecule: ribosomal RNA, 449 nt
Filed under: uncultured bacterium
Lineage: Bacteria
Description: partial 16S ribosomal RNA
Rfam family: Bacterial small subunit ribosomal RNA
Source: RNAcentral